UGAGGAAUAUUGGGUCAAUGGGCGAGAGCCUGAACCAGCCAAGUAGCGUGCAGGAAGACGGCCUUAUGGGUUGUAAACUGCUUUUAUAUGGGGAUAAAGUGAGCUACGUGUAGUUUAUUGCAGGUACCAUAUGAAUAAGGACCGGCUAAUUCCGUGCCAGCAGCCGCGGUAAUACGGAAGGUCCAGGCGUUAUCCGGAUUUAUUGGGUUUAAAGGGAGCGUAGGCCGCCCCUUAAGCGUGUUGUGAAAUGCCGCGGCUCAACCGUGGCACUGCAGCGCGAACUGGUCUUCUUGAGUACGCACAACGUGGGCGGAAUUCGUGGUGUAGCGGUGAAAUGCUUAGAUAUCACGAAGAACUCCGAUUGCGAAGGCAGCUCACGGGAGCGCAACUGACGCUGAAGCUCGAAAGUGCGGGUAUCGAACAGGAUUAGAUACCCUGGUAGU
RNAcentral lists this ribosomal RNA (443 nucleotides) under uncultured Prevotella sp. RNAcentral's name for it is "bacterial SSU rRNA". It matches the Rfam family "Bacterial small subunit ribosomal RNA", at positions 355 to 794 of the family's 1533-position model. Lineage: Bacteria; Pseudomonadati; Bacteroidota; Bacteroidia; Bacteroidales; Prevotellaceae. The record is from RNAcentral.